Molecule: long non-coding RNA, 98 nt
Organism: Aricia agestis (brown argus)
Lineage: Eukaryota; Metazoa; Arthropoda; Insecta; Lepidoptera; Lycaenidae
Exons: 3
Source: RefSeq, a predicted model, not a curated record
UCUGGGGUUAAAAUCCUAUGCCUGCGACCCGCCCGCCUUUAGUUUGUUUUGCCACCUUGUGGCCCUUGCCUGCCAAAAGGUUGCCGACCGCUGAUCUA